CAGGCUUAACACAUGCAAGUCGAGCGGAUGAAAGUAGCUUGCUACUGGAUUCAGCGGCGGACGGGUGAGUAAUGCUUAGGAAUCUGCCUAUUAGUGGGGGACAACGUUCCGAAAGGAGCGCUAAUACCGCAUACGUCCUACGGGAGAAAGCAGGGGACCUUUGGGCCUUGCGCUAAUAGAUGAGCCUAAGUCGGAUUAGCUAGUUGGUAGGGUAAAGGCCUACCAAGGCGACGAUCUGUAGCGGGUCUGAGAGGAUGAUCCGCCACACUGGGACUGAGACACGGCCCAGACUCCUACGGGAGGCAGCAGUGGGGAAUAUUGGACAAUGGGGGGAACCCUGAUCCAGCCAUGCCGCGUGUGUGAAGAAGGCCUUUUGGUUGUAAAGCACUUUAAGCGAGGAGGAGGCUACCUAGAUU
Molecule: ribosomal RNA, 416 nt
Filed under: Acinetobacter radioresistens
Lineage: Bacteria; Pseudomonadati; Pseudomonadota; Gammaproteobacteria; Moraxellales; Moraxellaceae
Description: bacterial SSU rRNA
Rfam family: Bacterial small subunit ribosomal RNA
Source: RNAcentral